Molecule: ribosomal RNA, 695 nt
Filed under: Acinetobacter baumannii Canada BC-5
Lineage: Bacteria; Pseudomonadati; Pseudomonadota; Gammaproteobacteria; Moraxellales; Moraxellaceae
Description: bacterial SSU rRNA
Rfam family: Bacterial small subunit ribosomal RNA
Source: RNAcentral
AUUGAACGCUGGCGGCAGGCUUAACACAUGCAAGUCGAGCGGGGGAAGGUAGCUUGCUACCGGACCUAGCGGCGGACGGGUGAGUAAUGCUUAGGAAUCUGCCUAUUAGUGGGGGACAACAUCUCGAAAGGGAUGCUAAUACCGCAUACGUCCUACGGGAGAAAGCAGGGGAUCUUCGGACCUUGCGCUAAUAGAUGAGCCUAAGUCGGAUUAGCUAGUUGGUGGGGUAAAGGCCUACCAAGGCGACGAUCUGUAGCGGGUCUGAGAGGAUGAUCCGCCACACUGGGACUGAGACACGGCCCAGACUCCUACGGGAGGCAGCAGUGGGGAAUAUUGGACAAUGGGGGGAACCCUGAUCCAGCCAUGCCGCGUGUGUGAAGAAGGCCUUAUGGUUGUAAAGCACUUUAAGCGAGGAGGAGGCUACUUUAGUUAAUACCUAGAGAUAGUGGACGUUACUCGCAGAAUAAGCACCGGCUAACUCUGUGCCAGCAGCCGCGGUAAUACAGAGGGUGCGAGCGUUAAUCGGAUUUACUGGGCGUAAAGCGUGCGUAGGCGGCUUAUUAAGUCGGAUGUGAAAUCCCCGAGCUUAACUUGGGAAUUGCAUUCGAUACUGGUGAGCUAGAGUAUGGGAGAGGAUGGUAGAAUUCCAGGUGUAGCGGUGAAAUGCGUAGAGAUCUGGGAGGAAUACCGAUGGC